This is a non-coding RNA of Microcebus murinus (gray mouse lemur), 12569 nucleotides long. NCBI's taxonomy places the organism in Eukaryota, Metazoa, Chordata, Mammalia, Primates, Cheirogaleidae. The record is from RefSeq and is a predicted model, not a curated record.
UCAGCCUCCCAAGUAGCUGGGACUAUAGGCACACCACCAUACCCAGCUAAUUUUUUUUUAGUUUUCAUAGAGAUGGGGGUGUCACUCUGGUGCCCCCGCUAGUCUCAGACUCGUGGCCUCAACUGAUCCUUCCAGCUUGGCCUUCCAAAGUGAUGGAAUUACAGGUAUGAGCCACCAUGCCCCAUCCCCUUAGCUUUUUUUUUUUUUUUUUUACUGCUCCCAGCUGACUCUAAUCAAGGAAGUCUAUAGGAGGAAAAGGAGCACAACAGAAUACUAGCCUCAGUGGAGCUGACUGUGCUUAUACUGUAGGGUGGACAGCACAGAACGCAAACCUCCUGAGGACACGGUUAGAACAUCAAUUUCCGUGGCCCAGCAUAGACCCACUGUCUUAUGGUGACCAGUAUUGUAUAGGUGUGUUCUUUACAGAUUUAGUGUAUCACUGACUCUUCUUAAACAGAAGUAAUUAGAACGUUACAAACAGGGAAGGCACAAGUAAUAAAUAAGCCAGGAGACCAGCCAAGAAAUAGCUCUCUGGAAGAGUCUGGAAUUUAAAAAAGCUAUUCUAGAACAGUAGCUGCUGUGUGCUCCAGAACUAAGGGGAGAUAUUUGAACUGGAGCCACUAGAGAAAGCUGCUAUUGAGAAGUUUUUAUUUCAUGAGUUAACCUGGGCUUGGUGGUUAAGGCCAAUACUUACACAUAUGAUUCUCAAGAAAAGUCUUGGCUUUAGAGUUUGUUGUAUUGGGGGAAAUAACAGUUACUGUGAUCUCAGAGGGAAAAUAGCACCUUUGGUUGUAGAUAGAUGUGGUCUUUCUCACAGCCUUCGUGUACAAGGGAUUUUAACAGGGUUGACACAGAACGGAUCCCACAGUAUGGCAUGUGUUUGAGGAAUUUUGUCUUUAAGCAUUUUCCUUGCACAUGUCAGAAACACCCCUGGAUCUCAUUCCUUGAGUGGUUGUGCGAUUCUUUGGAUAUUUGUAAGUACAAAGAGGAAAACGGAUGCCAGCUUUUUUUGUUGAUGCUUACUAGGUGGGAUAUGAAGGGUUCUCUACUGUUAAGAAUGGUAUCUGUUUUGAUAUUCUUAAUGAUCUUAAUAACUUGGCAUCUGAAGUCUGAGACACUGUUAAUAUUAUUAGUUCAAAAAGAACAAGUUCGUCAACCACUUAAUAACCCAAAUUAAAUUUAUAUUUAACUCCCUGUGAAUCUGAUGCUUGGAAGGGAUGUUGAUCUUAUUUGAUAAUAACUUUGAACUUUCUAACUCUCUGUGUCAUGGAUUCUAAGCCACUUCCGUGUACUUUCAAAUGACAUUUUAAUAGAUUGGUGUUGGUUUUUUUAAUGUCCAUAAACGAGAAAUGUCUGAGAGCAAUGAGUGUGGUUUUUCUUACACAUUUUCUUAUCUUUGCCAUUGGAGGUUAACUGUCAUCCAGAUACGCGUAUGAAUUGUUAAAUGCAAAGGAGCAAACAUUCAGGGGGAAGGGAGUAAGUGCUGCAAGUUCUUUUGUUCACUUUAAUACUAAAGAACAAUGGAAGUGUAUUUCAUUUUAUAAAAAGUAAGAAUCAAAAGCCCUCUGUAUUUUGAUUUAUGAAGAAUAUAGUUUAUCUCUGAGUGAAAUAGCUCAGGAUAUAUCUGGGACAACAAUGGAAUCACAGUGUAAUUGUUUGCUUUUGGUGUCAUGUUUGGCUUUUAGCAUGGAUCGUUGUGCGUAUCAGUGGCCUUUGAUUUCAGAAGGAGCUUGGCUAGGACAGAACGCAUAAGGGGAGGAAACCUUUGUGCCCAAGAGAAUGGCCUGGGUGUCACCAUUCCCAAUUUCCUUGAAUUUCUUCUUGGCAGGCCCCACUGUAAUAGUUCCACAAAAUUGUCAUGAGUGGCCCUUCUCUGGAGGUAACAAGUGGCUUUCCUAAGAACCAAAAAUUCCCUGCUCAGCGUGCUGCGACUUGAAUGUGGAAAUCAUUUUAAUUUCUAAUUUUCUCUUAUGAGGAAAUUUCUACGCUUGGUUUGUCAAGACAAGAGAGUUCAUUUCUUGUUAUUGAAACACUAAUGAAUUGAAACACGUUGAAGCAAGUAAAAAAAAAAUCUAAUUUAAGCUGGUUUCUCUUAAAUAGUUUAAAGCCUUCCUUAGUACAAAAUAAAUUAAGCAUUGUAAAAUGAAGUUAAUUCAGGUAAUUACUCAGUACAGAAGUUUAACUGUAUAUAUCAUUGGUAUUGCAGUUUAAGGGUAUAAUUAAAUUCUCAGAAAUCUGCAGAACUCCUAAUUCGGUUUCUAUAUUUAUCUAAUAAGACAAGGAACAAAUGUGUGUCAGUGUAACAAAGGGGACUUGAAUGGAGAAAUUAUGCUUAAUUAUCUAGAACUAUCCAGUACUGGGCUUGAAUUAAUCAUAUUCAAAUAAGUUUCAUUUUGUAGCCUAUUACCAUAUACCAUAUUACUUUAUAAUUGCCAUUUAUUGGUCCUCAUCAAAAAUUUUGACUCCUUAAGUAAAAAUCAACAAAACUGUACAUUUGACCCAAAUGCAUCUGGUCAGGUGACUGAAGGUAUGAAUUUGACAAAUCCCACAGAAUAACUUUCUUCAAUCAAGUUAGAAAACUGAAUAUUGUGGUACUUGCCUAGAGACCUCUUUUUUCUCAUUGACCUUAUCUUUAUUUGUUUUAAACUAUUUGAAUAGAUUGUUGUACAUGCCUAGGGUAUGAAACUAGUAUGUAGUGGAAAUGGACCUGUUUUAUUGAUAAAAUGAAGAGCAAAGUUGUUUUUAAAAAUUAACGUAUAUCACUUUUGUUCUUCAAAAACAAGUAAAGUAACCUCAAGGAACACCCAUGCAAAAUAUCCUUUUCUCAACAUGCUAUUUUAAAUUAUGUUCUAUUUGUAAGAAAUGUUUUCCUUUGUGAAGUGAUCCUGACAUUUUGAAAAUUCGAUAAAAUAAUCAAAGGAGCUUUACAUUUGAAUUGGCCCUAAAGAUUUAAGUAUGGAAAACCCAGCAUGAAGCAUUGGGAUUAAAUUGAUCCAUAAGAUUUUGAGGUGCAAUGUGGAUUUGUUCCCACUUCUGCUCCCAUGAUAUAAGAUAGACCUUUUAUGAAGGUUAAAGUAUGUGACCUUGAUUCCUUUGCAGAGAAUCUUGACAUUCCCCAAGUGGAUUCAUUUCUGUUUUCUAAGUUGAUCUAGUCCUUGCUCAGGACUGAUAUAGUCCUAGGCGAACUCUCUACACUGCCUUUUAUUUUGGUGUCCCAGGUAUCUCUGGUAGCUUGUAAAUACAUUUCCCCUUUAGUCCUGUUCAUAACUUUUCAGAAGCAUUUCAGUAUCACGGAAUAAUACAUUUGAAUAGCUGUGCAUGAAAUGCUGAGAACCUCUGCAGUUGAGGAAGCAUAGCUCCUUUCUUCUUAAGUGUUUUGAACAUACUGACUUGCCAUUUGGCCCAACCCACAGGAAAGAUGCCCUGCCAGAGACAUGAGGUCCAGGCUGGGGAUCUAGGGGCUACAUAACAGCAUGGCAAUGCAAGUCACAAUCCAUGGGUCCAGGCUGCUGCUUUGCCAUUAAUUGGUUUUAUAUGUUUGAGGACAAGUCACUCGCUCUCCCAGGCCUCAGUUUCUUCAUCUGGCAAAUAAAAUUGUCUCUAAUGUUUUAAGUGCCACACAUGUGCUUUUAAUGUACUGAGAUAAACAUCUCUCUCCCAAGUAUUAAUUUCUCCAUCUGUUUAAAAACAAGUUUUCUACACUGGCAACAUAGUGGAACCACCUGGAUAGCUUCUAGUUAAAUCAGAUUCUCUGAAGUUUGGCCUGGGCAUUGGUAUUUUUAAAGCUUGUAAAGUAAUGAUUCUCAAGAGACAUCAUAGUUAAGAACUAUUGUUUAAAAAUGUGGUGUGUGCAUGUAAAUACUGGAUGUUGGAAGAGAUGAGGUAGGCUAAGCGCUGCAUGUCUUUUAGAAGAGGGACUUUCAGCAAAUCAGAAGGGAGCUUUCAAAGAAAUGAGUAAGAGGCUGUGGGGACAAGGUGUCAGUCAACAGACAUGCAUUUUAGUCAUGCAAAGAGAUAUUUUGUAUUUGUCUGAAAGCCCCCCAUACAUUUCUUCUGCUUAGACCCUACACAUGCAAACACACCCCUUCAUCUUUGCCAACAUUGAGAAAUUGUUACCCUCAUUCAGAAGAUGAGUUUUUAAAGCGCCUAAAUAAUUGUCUGAAAUCUUUACAUAAACCUCUGGGGUUUGUCUUUGAUCCAUGAUCAUUAAUACCAUUAAUAGACUCUCUAAAAGUGCGUGUGAAUGUCAAGUUAGCAUUUGGCAGGGCAGUGAAAGAAUGAACGCUUUUAAAAUAGUUUGGCUCAGAAAGUGCAUCUGAAAUAACCCUGUGGGAAAAUCGGGAGAAUUUCUCAUCCUCCAAAGGAUUACCUAGGAUGAGAUACUGACCUUGUAUUUUAAGUUCAGUUACAUUUCUUUAAAACCUCAUUCAUUACCCAGCCUGAUUUAUUUUGGGGGGUGAAGUAGGCUGUGGGAGGGGCUGUCUGAUGAUGUACGGUUUUUAUGUUUGCUUUUUGUUUUCUGCAUAGUUCCCAAAAGAUUUUUAUCAUAACGUGUAUAUAUAUUUCUUAAAAAGAAAAAGAAAAAAAAGACCAGCUUCUUCAUGAGAUUUACUACAGCUUUUCUCUCAGAAAUAAGAGCUGAAGAAUUCUCUCCUCUUCAGGCUCUAAGGCGAUCAAACCCCAGAAGGCCGAGUGUGUACAGGGCGAGCAGAGCGCUGACCUCUGCCGGGGGAGAGGUCAGUUCAGCACACAAGACUCAAAAGGGAGGAAGAAAAAGCAACUCCUCAGCAGGGAGUUUGACUUGCUUUAAGGCAGAAGAGCUUUUAUAAAUGAGUUCCCAGUCUCCCACGCCCUCUUGCCUGCUCUUCUGUUACUAUCCUGUCUCUGUGCUUAGACACACACACACACACACACACACACACACCCCCACACACACACACACACCCUUAUUUCCACUCACUGCCUCACAUCCUCUCUCCACCUGCCCCAGGAACUGUGGAUAGACUGGCAGACCCUGCUCCAAAGGCGGCAGGUGAUGGAUUGACUGGGAAUUUUUCUAGGCCCGGUGGCUCCCAAGGCCUUUUCAGUUCCUCCUCAAUAUGCUUGACUGGUGAGAAGAACGCAGAGGGCUCUUUCCCAAACCCACUAUAGGUGCCUGGGAGGAUUAAUACCAGCUCCUCCAUUCCUGUUGUCAGAGCCAGAAGGUGGAAUGGUAAAUCAGGGCGACCUCCAGCCAGGAUGUGGGAGACUGGGCUGGGCGUUUGGGAUGUGUCCCAGUAGGAGGAGCCAGGAAGGACCUUCCUGUAACACUGCCAGAGGCUUGUGAAACAGCAGCACUACUUUCUUCACAUUCUCCUUAAAAUGGUGAGCCUUGUCCCAGUGCCCUUCUGCUCAGCAUGAGACCAUCUAAAGAACUGUGGAAGCCGCCUGGGCAGAGCUUGGAGCAUCUAGAAAAAAAACAUCCCCAAGUGGCUCUCCAGUGAAAUGCCCCAUCAAUCUGAAAACACUUGUGGGCAACAGAGUUCUCUAUGCCAGAGAUGCAAGGGCUCUUCGUUGCUGCCUGCGUUCUUGUUUUGAUGUCAACAAGAAUAUUCACUGGAAGAACCUUGCAGAGCUUACCUAAAAUCUCUGUACAGGCUCAAAGACAAGCAGAUUCUGCACCUGUGAAUUUUCUACUGCAAAUUGUCCUUGCUUUCUCUUGAAGAUAGUAUUUCUUGGUACUAGUUUAUCAACUUUCAUAUUUUCCUAGGCCCUUGUUGUAGGAACGACUUUGACUCCUGUUUCUUAUAUUUGUCAGUGUAAUUCCAGGUCAUAAUGGUGUAUUAGAGAAGCUCACUAAAUGAGAGAAACCUUAACUUUCUGCCAUCAGCUAUGCAUGUCUGCCCAGGCUGGUUGCCCACCAUAUAAGGGCAAUCCUAGUAGAGAGAUGGUGGAAGAGAAAAGUUUGGCUUGACAUUUAGCCCCUUCUCAGUCCGAAAGAAAUGACCACACCGUGCAGUGACAACAGCCAAGGAGGGAACUUCCUUAUAGGGAAAGGCCCUGGGGGUGGGGAUGGGGGCAUUAAAAAGUAUUUAUAAAAUGUCCAAUCCACUGAAAACUUCAUCAAGAAAAUGAGAGUCAAACAUGUUUCUAAGGAGAGAGAACUGGCUCAAGACUUUGGUGUCCUGGAGUCCUCCAAGGCCCAGGCACCUGAGUUUCCCUCAUUUGGCACUAAUUUUAUAAAACAGCAAGGGGAGGGGAUACAGAGGAAAGAACUGUGUUGUAUUCUUAUUUGCAAGCCGUAGACAGCUGUCUACACUCGCAGACCACACACUGUUGUAGACUUUAAUUGGGCACCAAGUUUUUGUUCAGUCCUGUAAUUCAUUCUUGUCUUGAAUGAGCUUUUCUUUCUGCUAUACUGGUAGCAGGCACUGAAUUGAUCAAGGAGAAAGCCGACAAUUUGUAGAGUCACAGUUAAAUACAGCACCUACAAGCAACAUAGUCUAGUAUGAUUCCCUUUAGAAGAGGCCUGUGUUAAUGUUCUAUUGCUGUGUAACAAAUUACCAUAUAUUUAGUGGCUUAAAACAACAUAAAUUUAUUGUCUCAUGUUUACGAAACUUUAUAGUAGAGUCCUCUGCUUAGCAUCUCAUAGGGCUGAAAUUAAGGUGUCAUUUGGAUGUUCAACUAGAGAGAUCUGCUUCUAAGUUCCCUUAUGUUGUCAGCAGAAUUCAGUUUCUUGCAGUUGUAGGACUAAGGUCCCCGUUGUCCUGCUGGCUGUUGGCCAGGGAUUUCCUAGAAGCUGUUUCUCAGGUCAUUGCCACGUGACACCCUCCCCACCCCCUAUUUCAUCAAUCGAGAAACCUCCUUUGCAUUGAAUCACUUUCAUGCUUUGAAUCUCUCUGACUUAUGUGACCAGCCAGUGAAAACUCUCAGCUUUGAAAAAGCUCCUGUAAUUAGGUCAGCCCCACCUGGUUAAUCUGUAUUUUAAGGCCAAGACGAGACUUUAAUGACAUUGGCAAAAUCCCUUCACAGCAGUACCUGGAUUAGUGUUUGAUCAAAUAACCAAGGGCCCGGAAUCUUUGGGGGCCAUCAUGGAAUUCUGGCUACCACUGGAUCCAAUAGCCCUUAGCUCUUGUCUGACUUGGGGCCCAGUUUAAUGGUAAGAAAGUAGACUAUCAUUGGCAUCUCACUGAAUUCGUUAAUCUUUUAACGGAUUCUUAUUGUAUCACAGGUGGUUUAGAGAAAAUACUGAAAGGAGUGUUCUUCCUACAGCCCUUUUUAUGAAUAUUAACAGUGUGGCACACACCAUCGUGGCAGACAAGAAAACUGAAGUGCACAGAAUUUCAGAAACUUUCCCAAGUUAUUAAGUGACAGAGCCUAUAAUCCAGGUCUGGCCAACCCCCAAACCCCAGAAACUGGGGUUAGGCUACACAGGCAGAAAAUUCCAAACCAGCAACUGGGAAAGAAGAGCUGCAAUUGGAAUCAAGGAAGUCUGACUCCAGAGAGCGUGCCCUUGGCCAUGCAGCAGACAGCCCGGCUUUGCACACUAAGAAGGUGAAAGUAACAGUCGAGAAGGGUCAGACCCACGUGGAGGCAGAACACUCUGGAGGAAACAUUCAGGACGUCUUUUGUAACUGCACUGCAGCCGACACUGUCCGACUGAGAACUCACAGGAAGAAGCACAGAAAUAACAGGGCGUGGAUGUGGAGAAAGCCGGAGGUUGUGGUGAGACCUUAUCCCCCUCCCUCCCGCUCCCCUUCCUUUACCCAGAGGCGCUUUUUCCUUACUUUGGUGCGGACCUGUAUGCUACAUCACGUUUGUGCUCUUCCCUUCUGCUUUGUGCCUUGAAUUCUUUCAAAAAGUACUUCCAAAAAACGUCACUGCGAAACCGGGGAGGACUCCCAGAGGGUAUCUGAUUGUUCAUGUCCUCAGCUUGGAGGAUUUAUGUUCCUGUCUCGGGGAUGGGGUUUUCCAAGUCAUUCAGCGUGGGUGCCUCAGCCAGCGCGGAGGAAACUUCUGCAUAAUACGUGUAAUUCAGGCCUCGCCUGGCACGACAAACAGGUUAAAGACGACUUGUGGGAUAUGCUGCUAAUCCACCAGCGCCGGGUGGGGAGAGCGGAGGCGUAGCCUUUUUGGGGUGUCAGGUGGAGGAAACAGAGCUGCCCACAGGCAAUUCCAGGAACGCCCAGAUGCCCAGAUCUGUCUGUACCGGCCCGGUUGCACACCGGACGUGGCGAACUUCGAUUCAUUCAAGCGAUCUGGAUGUUGGUAUUGUUAAAUCCUCAUGUGAUUUGUCCGCGAUAACCUGGAAGGAACCUGCCAGGGCAAGCGGAAGUGGUUAGGGAACGUGGGAUGAGGCCAAAUAAUAACUGCCGUCGCCUGCAUGGCCGGGGACCCGGCGACAGUGUCUUAGCCACUGUGGGCAGCAUUGCAGUUCCGCAGUCGCCCGAAAGCUGUGCGUGUGCGUGCGUGCGUGUGCGUGCGUUUGCGUGUGCGUGCGUUUGCGUGUGCGUGCGCACGCGCAGAUUGCAAUGGGACCUACAGGGGCUGUCGCUUUCCUCUCGGCACCUCUUUCCCUGUGACUCAUUUUAUAAGUCUGUGAAGCAGAAACUAAAAAGGAAAUCUGAAACUUCCCAAGAACAAAGCAACAACCUACAAAGGAACGGGACUUAAUCUGCCUUUGAUUCAGAAAACACCUAUUGCUCCCGGAUUUAUAAAAAUGUCACUCUCUAGGCAAAUCCAGCUCAGAUCGGCGAUGCGGUCUUAGUGGCAGCUUCCCGCGGCCUCCCUUCAGCCUUUGUGUCCGUUUUUGUGAAGCGCUGAUCUCCCAAUCCCUCAUCUUUGAAAAUCACGCCAAAGGCAAAUUCCCAGAAGAGGCAGAAAACCAGCCCAGGAAGCAGUAGCCCCAUUUGUAGUCCUGGCUGUUACCAAAUCUCUGUAUGACCACGGGCAAGUCCCUGAACCUCUCUAGGCCUCAGUUUCCCCUUCUAGCAAGAUAGUGGGAGUUGGAUCCUUUGAUCGGUGUAAGGUCCCCGAUUGCAUUAACAUCCAGUGAGUCUGGGAUGAAGGCUUUUCAACUGCACGUAUCUCAGCAAGGAUGAACGAAAGCAGCUUUUCACUCCUCAGGUGCAGAACAGAGAGGGGGCCAACCCGUUUGGUUGCCUGAGUAGUCAUUAAGAAGCCAGCUGCAAACUUGGAUUUCCCUCCGGGAUCACGGAUGAUCCCCACCAGCCUUGCCAAAAAGAGCUUUUUAAAAGAAAGCUGUUACUUUCAUGUUGCUGGCAUCUGCAUUUGCUCUCUGGAUAAUUCAACCCUUGGGUGCCCUGGUGUGGAUAUUUGCAGGAGGGUGGGUUGUGGGAAGCAGCAAGCAGACCUCAAGUCAAGGUUCUUACUGGAUUUAAGAACCUUUACUCUCCAAGUUAAUUUAGCCUGACUUGCAUAUCACAGGUUAAUACUGGACCCAUUCAUAAUGAUACAUAAUUUGAGACUUGUAAAAGCUGCCUUGGACUUGAAAGAAACACACUCUAAGCCAGGAGGUUGUGCCCGGCAUGCAAGAGCAAGUAAUACAGGUAGAAUAUAUGUCCAAAGCAAGGGAGCCACGCCCUUUUGACAUGAUCUCGGAGGAUGCCAUGCAGGUGUUUGGGCCCCUUGGCUGCCAGGCAACCAUACCACUGCAGUCCUACAAGCCUCACUACCCCCAUCUUGCUCUUCCUUUUAACAACCAUUGGAAGGCAAUUGUUCAAAAAGGGAAAUUCGUUAUUUUUAAUAGACCCUGAAGUAUUUCAUGGACUUGAAGUGAUGCAACAAGAUUGCCCUAAUGGUUUCUACACUUUGUUUUUAAGACUUCUGGGGCCAGAACCAUAAAGAACUGCCUUGAGGCACCCUUCUACCUCAGAUAACCAAGCUGUUUGUUGGCAUUGUUGGAGACUGACAUAGCCUAAGCUGGGAUGUUUAGCUGCUUGUGGGGUGGAAAAAAAAUGUUAAGAAAAAUAAUUGUUGUUUUUGCAAACUAUCUAUUUAAAAACAGAACCUCAGGAAGCAGAUUUCUGUUCCAAUGCUUGGAUGAAUCAGAGCUUACAAAGUAUAAAUACACAUUAGCAGGAGGAGGCUUCCCAUAACCCAUGUGCUUGUGUGUCUUCCCAGACCAGGAACCUCUGAACUCCUCUUUCUCAUUCCCAGUAAAGGCAAGAAAGAGACUCACAGUAGAAACAGAAAUAGUGGAGCAUUGCUCAGCCCAAGUUUCAAACCCCUGUAGGCCUGAUUUUUUUCCCCCCUCUUUAAAGGCAACUGAUUUUUAGCUGCACACUCGCUCACUUUGGGGCAGACAGGUGUAUUUAGAAAGAUGGGAAAUCCAUGCUCUGGAACCUUUGGCUCUUUGCUGCCUAAGAAAUAUUACUAAAGUUAACUUUGACUCUCUGACCCCUCAGAUCAGGUAGUUAAACACUUAGACCACAACUUGCUCAAGGGGCAGUGUAAUUAUUUUACUUAAAAAUGAUGUCAGGUGGCAAUUUAGCAACAAACUGGCUUCCAGGCUAUUUAAUUCAGUUUAACAAGAAGGAAAAAACAUAAUUAAUGUAGAGCUUGUACUUUAGCAUAGGUGUUCUAAAUUUUUACUGUCCAGAAGCUGGGGAGGAGCAUGGCUUAUUGAAAAUUCAGAUUCCCAGGCCCCACUUGUGACAUGUCUGGUCCAAUAGGGGUCUUGGGUUGGGCCUAGGAAUCUGCAUCUCAAAUGAAAUCCUGAAACCCAUUUGCAAGUCAUGCUUCUAAUCAUUACUGUCUCAUUUGGCUUUUAUUCAAUUAAGACAUAUCCCCCCUCUUCUAUUUCAAUUCCACAAUGUCUAAGUCUAGAAUCUCAAAACAGUUUCUUCCCCUAAAACAUCCAACUUCAAGGAUUUCCUGGACUUUCAAGGUAUACUCUAAGGCUAGAGUUCUAGUUAGCCAAGUUUUUUCUGGCUGAAAAUUCUUUUUCUUCCAGAGCCCCUUUAAAGAGGGCCCAUGGAGAAUCGUGAAGACACUAAGUCCCUUCUUUUCCACUAUGAUCCCAGGAAAACCAAGGCUCCGUUGCCUGCUUCCUUUUCCCUGGAGAAAGGGAAAACUCACCCCCUUCACAAUUAAGGUCCUGGCUUUGAGCUGUACCCAGAGUAGCCCUCCCACCACCAAGAGCAUCCCAGACAGAAGCCGCCUCAAGACAAUACCCAUGAAUAUCAACAUCACUUCCCUCCUGAAAUAAAGAGUUACAGUGCUCAUUAAACUAUUUUUUCUUGGCACAGCAGCAUUUGGCAGCUACCCAAGGAAUUCUAGGGUCCUGCAGAAUCCAAGCUUACAAACUGCCAGAACCAGGUAUUGCUUCAGGAUGGUGUUUGAAGCCAGUGCUGCUAAACCAGACUGUCUCCUGGCUAGUAAGAUGAAGACAGCCAGACACUGGAAACUUAUGGAAGGCCAGAAACCCAGCACCCCAAGGCUGCAUGGCAAGGCAAGCAGAACUCUUAUGCCCUGGAAACAAGGUGAUGAGUAGAUGGGCCCUAACACUAGAAGCUUCUAACUACCUCCUGUGCAGUUAAGAAACCACCCCAUGGGUAAACAUGCACCCAAGUUGCAAGGGUGUGGUCUGUAAUGAUAGAACAAGACAUUAAUAUGAAUCCAAGCAGCCAGGGGGUGAGAAAAAAAAAGCAUUAAGUCUCCCUCUUCAACCCCCAACACCAAUUCCAAACCCUUUAAAACCCUUUUAGUGCAGUGGCCAGUCCCCGUGAGUGCUCACAAACAAUUCACCUCCACACUACAGGCCAUUAAUCCAGUGGUGUUUAUUCAAGCAGUAUUCACACUUGCUGUUGAAUAACAAGGGAAUUGGGGCUCCCACCGCAGCCCCAGGUUUCUGAGAACUUCAGAUGAAUUUCUUGGUUGAAAAGCCUUUCAGUUCUUGUCGGUGCCCCUGUCAGGCAGGGCCUAUUAGAGCCCGAUUACCAGAACAGACUCAGUGGGGUGGCAAACACACAGGGCAAAGCCGAGCAGAACUACGUAAGCUCAGAAGAGGCCACACUGUUCCAUGUUUUCAUACAAAAAAUUUAAUAAAUAUUACUUUUCAAAAUUUAUUGCCAGGAACAACACAUCAAAGAUGCAUUUUUAUGUUCAUAUAACACUAAUAGGACAAUACAAAGUAUCUUCACGGUCUCAAUGGUGAACCAACAAGAUUACUCUGUUUUAUAAGCCUUUUUGAUCUUAAGCUUUGUAAUAGCACUUUGAUUUCCUCACUUAAGGCAGGCAGUGUACUCUAUGGCAAAUCUAAACAGUGAUCUUACUGGACAUUUUAUGGUUCAAGUAUUCAACUAGCUUAUUAGAAUACUCCCUAAAUGCAGAUUUAAAAAAAAAAAAUUCUACAAGUGGUUCAGUAUUACAUACGAAUGGUGAAAAGAAAUCAGAAUUUACAAAACAAGAUUGGUGUGCUUCCAAAGUUUCACACAAUUAAUUUGAUAUUUUUAAUGAUAUUCAACCACUCACAUUUUGGCUACGUUAAGUCAUAGCUCAGCUUGUUCCCUUAAACUGCUCUGUAGCAGAUUGCCUGCCUGUCUCUUUUCAAGUCUAAAGCAGAAAAA